This 500-nucleotide ribosomal RNA is filed under the name uncultured bacterium. RNAcentral describes it as "partial 16S ribosomal RNA". It matches the Rfam family "Bacterial small subunit ribosomal RNA", at positions 29 to 523 of the family's 1533-position model. The record is from RNAcentral.
AUUGAACGCUGGCGGCAUGCCUUACACAUGCAAGUCGAACGGCAGCACGGGAGCAAUCCUGGUGGCGAGUGGCGAACGGGUGAGUAAUAUAUCGGAACGUGCCCAGUAGUGGGGGAUAGCCCGGCGAAAGCCGGAUUAAUACCGCAUACGACCUACGGGUGAAAGCGGGGGAUCGCAAGACCUCGCGCUAUUGGAGCGGCCGAUAUCAGAUUAGCUAGUUGGUGGGGUAAAGGCCUACCAAGGCGACGAUCUGUAGCUGGUCUGAGAGGACGACCAGCCACACUGGGACUGAGACACGGCCCAGACUCCUGCGGGAGGCAGCAGUGGGGAAUUUUGGACAAUGGGCGAAAGCCUGAUCCAGCCAUGCCGCGUGUGGGAAGAAGGCCUUCGGGUUGUAAACCACUUUUGUCAGGGAAGAAACGGUUCUUACUAAUACUGAGAGCUAAUGACGGUACCGGAAGAAUAAGGACCGGCUAACUACGUGCCAGCAGCCGCCGUAA